UUUUUUUCUUCUCCUUUU
RNAcentral lists this small RNA (18 nucleotides) under Arabidopsis thaliana (thale cress). Its description in RNAcentral is "ATSL008310". The record is from RNAcentral. Lineage: Eukaryota; Viridiplantae; Streptophyta; Magnoliopsida; Brassicales; Brassicaceae.